GCCGGUAAUGCAAGGUCUCAGACGCCUCCGCUCUUGUACUUGUUUCGAUUCUAUUUAUCCGCUGCCUUACAUUCUGCUGUUAGGAAGUUAUCAGCACUAGGCAUGUGAUUUUGGCAGGUGGAGGCUUUAAUUUGGUGUAUGUGCAAAUGGUGCAUACAGACUAUGGGAAAAGUGCAUAUAUACUGGGAUCAGGAAUCCAUUAACUUAUGUUAGUAUCUCUUUUUUAUUUGAUUUAAAUAUCAUCUUUUUCAUGCAUUUAAUUUGCCGCGCAGGUGUCUUAUGAUGAGAUACUAAGGAUUACAUAACUUUCUUUACCAAUUACAGCACCUAUGGUGGCAGGACAUGCUUUCUAUUUGCAGUUCUCCAACUAAAAGUCAUCUUAAGUCAACAUUGUAUAUAGAAUCUUCUUUACUUUUUUUUGAGGGUUUAGAACCUUCUUUACUUAACUAGCUGAAACUCACGGACUAUAUAUUGUCAGCUAUAUCACAUAAGCAGCCUUGCAACCACAAACCUUGCCGACUUCUCAUAUAUAUCCAAACUUUGUAAACAUUCCAUUCAUAUUUGUAAAAUUGUUAUAUGUUUAUUUGUAGUCUGCCAAGAAAAAAAAUAAAGUAGUGACCAAAUGUGCGGAAAUCCAACUCGGUGCCCAAGCCCAUCUGCUCCUGGUCAGGAAAAAAUCAAAACAAAUACUAGAAAAAUUCAAAAAAAUCAAAAUAAAUCCGUGUGAUAGAUAAUUUGAUGUGUGAGGUCUGCUUCAAAUUUCAACUCAGUUGGACAUCUGAGAAGCUCUCGGCAAAAAAGAAA
RNAcentral lists this long non-coding RNA (804 nucleotides) under Triticum aestivum (bread wheat). RNAcentral describes it as "long non-coding RNA (TAES_LNC010379)". Lineage: Eukaryota; Viridiplantae; Streptophyta; Magnoliopsida; Poales; Poaceae. The record is from RNAcentral.